UGCCCUAUUUUCUCAUAUUGAUGUUCUCUUAUGGAAAACGAUAAAACUCAAAUGUCGCGUUCUUCUCUUCAAUCUUUUUUUGUAACUGAAAUUGCUUGCAACGCCUUUGCUAUUCAACUCUCUCGCUCCUAUAGCAGAUGCCUUUCGCUCUUCUGCAGUGCUCUUUCAGAGCCUUCUCCUCAAUUCUAAAUUACCAGGAAUAAUCGAUUUUAAUAUUUUUUUUAUUAGUUGAAGAUUUCAGCCUCAUAGGGCGAAUCAUUUGUGGCAGGAUAAUGGAAGAUUUGGUUAUCAAAAUUCAAAGGCGAGUUGGGGUGAUUUUUGAUUGAAUACGUUCCUAUGCCCUACAACAAGUUACAACAGUCAACGUAUGUAAAAUAUCAACAACUUACUUCAAUUGGGUUCGAAAAGAUGGUGCGGUGGAAGAUCCAAUCUUACUUUUAACGUCUAUAUGCCCAGGAGCAACAACAAACCGAGCGUGUUUCUACAAGUGGGGUCUGGGAGGACUAACGAGGAGAGAAAAUCGAGAAAUUUGUUCGGUUGAGGCAGCAAAGUGCUUCGGCAUUGGACUUUACUCUUUUUAUCUUUUUGUGCAAUUCUUUUUUCAGCCUUAACUAGAAGCUUCGGUUCAUUUCUGUAGUUUAUAUCUUUAUUAUUAUGUAUUCAUUUGAGGCUUUGUCCGGAAGUAUGAAUAUGAAAUUUGCACAUGAGAA
Nicotiana tabacum (common tobacco) is the source of this 710-nucleotide long non-coding RNA. RefSeq lists it as uncharacterized. NCBI's taxonomy places the organism in Eukaryota, Viridiplantae, Streptophyta, Magnoliopsida, Solanales, Solanaceae. The record is from RefSeq and is a predicted model, not a curated record.